GGUCGUCUUGGAGACCUGGCCUCUCACAGGGCUUCAGGAAGGAAGGCUUCUGAUAAACACUCCAAGCCACGCUCCUUGCCUCGCUUGGGAACUUUCAUCUGCUCUUGAAGUUCUCAAACACUUUUGCCCUACUCUGCCUUCAGAGUAAGAUCCUCAUCAGCCAACAAACAAUUAUUGAGUGCCUCUGGUAUGCACGGGGCUGGCUCUACAGAGAUGCACUGAUUGCAGCCCCUGCCCGAUCGUGAACUCCACUUCCAGCACUUUGAUCCAGAACAUAGAUUCUGCCUGGGAGACAUCACACCUGUCGGUAGUUGAUCACGAGCGUGGAGCCCACGGCUCAGGACUGGGUUAGAAGAGCUGUGAGCCGAACAGAAGCUCUGGGAUGGGGAUGCCCGGCAAGAAGAGAGGGCCUCAGGGUCCCCAGGAAAGUUCAAGGGACCCAUGCUCAAAACCAGGAUAGGGUUGUGUCCAAAGAGCCAGAAGCAGGAAGAGACAAAGCAAGAAAGUCACCAAGAUGACACAAAAAUGCCCCUAGACUUGGAACAGGAAGACGCCCCUUGACAGUUGCCUGGAGACAGACGGGGAGACGUGCCAGGGGAGAUGGCGAGACACAGGCAUCUUCUCAAGGAGUUGGGGCAGGUAGGGGAUAACCAGAGGGGCUCCAGGUGCCUGGGGAGGAGGGCUCUGGGCUUUUACUUUUGAUAGUUAGUUUUUUUAACCUUGGGAGAAAGAGAUCUGACAGUGCGUCCAGGUGGAGGGGACGCAGCCAGCAGGGAGGGACAGGUUGACUUUAAGCACACAUGGGAGAGAUUGGCUUCCCGCUUCCCUUGUCUCAGACAAGCAUGAGCCCUAGACGACUCCCUGCCCUGCCCAUCCUCAAAACUGUCGCCCACGCAGCUGCAUGGGGUAAAAGGGGCCACUGUAUGUCAGGAUCCUGCCAGUGCCAGCCAAAAACUUCCAUUCCCCAAUUUCAGCUUCUCAGCUAUUGGAACCACAAAGGGAGGACAUGUACAGGCUACGUGCCUUUAAGUAACUUUCUUUGAAAGGAAAACCAGCCUUACAAUCUUACGUCACCAGACAGAUGCAUCUGAUAAAAUGCAAAUCAGCCCGUUCAAAGCAGUCGGUCAGGAGUGUGCGGCUGACUUGCAAAUGGCCGGUGCCUUCUUCCUCCGUCUUCUGAUGGAGGCUGUUUCUAGUUCCAUUUUUGAACACUGGGUCAUGUGCUUCUGGUCCAGGCUUCUUCCAAACAUAAAGUUAAUGCUUGAACAAUAAAUCAUUUAUAAUUGGACUGGCUAAUUAUAAUAGAGAAUUCGUUUGCAUGUGAAGACAUUCAGGCAUAGAGAAAAUGAAAGCCUCUAUGUUUCCAUCUCGCAAAUUGCAGGAAACGUAUUCAGGUGACUUCGUUAAGGCCCAGGCCGUGUUUAUUUUAGGUAUUUUAGCACUCAACAGAAAGCCACAGUUUUCUAAUUUGUGAAUAUCGUAAACCUGGUGGCCAUGAAGCCCAUGACAGGCUUGGUUGCGCCCCAGCAAUGGAAGGGAAGUGGUAACUUGAUUGCCUCGAUGCAGAUAUAUCUUGAAUAUCUUUAUACAUGUUUCCAAUAGCCCCCAUGCCCUGCAUCUAGAUUCUUUGAUUGUCAGUCCCACAGGCACUUAAGAAAUGUCUUUGAAUUGAGUGACACAAACAAGCAGAGAGCAAAGUCCACUACCCUCCCUGAUCUAAUGAAUAGUCAGGGAACAGAUUCUUGCUGGUCAUUCCAGACAUGAUAGCACGCAGGGGUCAGCCUGUGACAGAGGACCAGGCAUCCGUCUGGGCAUGACAUUGAAGUUCCUUGAUUAGUCAUGACGCUUGCCUGGUUCAGAGAUUGUUCAGAACCUCUGCUUUCCUUUGUGUGCCCUUCCCCGUACAGGACAGAGGAAGAGCUGAAAUCAAAUUGGUCAUUUGGUUUCCUCGGCUAGUCUGCAGGUUGAGAGAUUUGCUGGUAGGAGAGCCUGCGGCGCUGGGCCAGAAGGAGCUGCUGCCGUCUGUCUGUCUCCUCCACCCCACUGCCCGCCCCUCCUGCAUCUCUGCUCCCCCAAGGGCUGCUGUCUGCCUGUCUGACACCCGCAUGCUGGCAGCGAUAUGCCCCGAUGUGUUCAAACGCUCAGCGAUUUUAAUUAACCGAUCGCUGUUCCAGGAACCAACAUCAAAUACUCUUGUGAUCUUUCAUGAUGAAGCAGGAACCACUGGGUAGAGGAGACAGGAAAUGGCCCUGCCCCCAGCUCCUGCUGGUUACACUGAGCUGGGGCCAGAAACACCCCAUAAACCCUCAGGCUGUCAUUUAUUAGAAAUAAUGUCAUUGGGGAGUUGCCAUGGUGCGGUGGCCUCCAGCUGAGCCCAGGCUCCCAGGGAGGAAGGGGGGAAAUUGCCUGCCGGCUCCGGCUGAUUGACCGUUAACCUUGGUCCCCACAGUACAGAUAAAGCCCAACAAAAGGGAAGUUGAUGACGAUUUUAUUAAAAAGGCGAUUCCGAUGAGGUUUCUUUUUAACUCGAUGGAAUGAAUGUUGCUAAAGGGUUGGGGGCAGAGAAAUGAAAUCAGAAGCUGAAUAAAUGACUUAAUUGCUUUGCCAUAGCCACGCAUUUUUUAAAAAUGAGAGGCAUGGCAGGGAAGAUUGCAUCACCGAGAUUUUAAAUCCUUGGUUACUGCGAGCAAACACAGCCACAACCCUGGACGGAAAGCUCGUCCAAGUUGAAAUGAAGGUGAUACUGGUUUUAUUACAGACAGGUCGCGGGAGGGCUCGCGAGGCAGACAGCUUAUGAAUUCCUUUGGCCUGAUGUCGUUUUGAAGAGACGUGUGGCCAGGCAUUGUGAGCCACAGGACACAGAUUCAGAUCAAACCAAGCCUGUGGCUCUGCUUCUCAGCUGCUCUGGAGGGCCUGUUGCCUGACGACCCACGCUCUGGUGUGUGCAGAGGAGCAGCAUCUUCCCAAUUAGAUUAAGUGAACGCUCUUCCUCCCGUACCAUGACCUUCACCCUGGACGUACAGAAAGUGCAGAACUUGAAGUGAUUUGUGGGGCCAAGUGGACUCUGGCCCCUCUGGAGAGUGAAACCCUGCCUGCCACCCCCGAGGUGCCCAAACUUAGAUAAAUGCUCUCACAUGGUAUUUGUCUUUCUCUGUCGAACUCACUUCACUCAGUAUGACCAUCUCUGGACCUAAAAUCCUUCCUCAUUUGAUUCCACCUUGGUGUCUGCAUCUCAGGGCACAGAUUAACACCCCCAGGCCCAGAAGAGGGUACACGACUUACGACACCACAGAAGACUUGUGACACCACAUGAAGAAGCGGAUACAAGACUCCAGAUGUCUUCUCUGAAGCCAGACUUUAAAGCGAUUUUCAAAAAUCAUAAGAUAAUGCCACUUCUUGCAGAAAUUUUUUGUUUUUCAGAAAAUAGUUAUUCUCAUAAAAAUACACCAACUUUGUAAUUGUUUUAUUAUUAUUAUUCU
This is a long non-coding RNA of Camelus dromedarius (Arabian camel), 3479 nucleotides long. RefSeq lists it as uncharacterized. Lineage: Eukaryota; Metazoa; Chordata; Mammalia; Artiodactyla; Camelidae. The transcript has 3 exons. The record is from RefSeq and is a predicted model, not a curated record.